UACGGAGGGUGCAAGCGUUAUCCGGAUUCACUGGGUUUAAAGGGUGCGUAGGAGGGCAGGUAAGUCAGUGGUGAAAUCUCCGAGCUUAACUUGGAAACUGCCGUUGAUACUAUCUGUCUUGAAUAUUGUGGAGGUGAGCGGAAUAUGUCAUGUAGCGGUGAAAUGCUUAGAUAUGACCCGGAACACCUAUUGCGAAGGCAGCAGGCUAAACAAAUAUUGACGCUGAGGCUCGAAAGCGUGGGGAUCAAACAGG
Molecule: ribosomal RNA, 253 nt
Filed under: uncultured bacterium
Lineage: Bacteria
Description: partial 16S ribosomal RNA
Rfam family: Bacterial small subunit ribosomal RNA
Source: RNAcentral